This 310-nucleotide long non-coding RNA is filed under the name Androctonus crassicauda. Lineage: Eukaryota; Metazoa; Arthropoda; Arachnida; Scorpiones; Buthidae. The record is from RNAcentral.
UGCUGGUAUCGUCUCGUAGGGAUGCCGUGGAGGAGGGGGGCACGAUUGUGUGUGGUGUCUGUUGGCGAGCACGGGCCUGUGUGUGCUGUCUUGAAUGUUGUUCCGUGCACACCAUUUCCAUGGUGCUGGCAGCUGGGAGGGUUCGUUGUCGUUAAUAGCAUUAUAUUUGGUUUUUCUUUUUUCUGUUUCGGGCGCUUCAUGAGUUGUGAUACCUGUGGUGUCCCUUGGCGGCUUUGUCAUGUGUGCCUGAUCCCAUUUGAUGUCAAUGUUUUUCUCAUGGGCUGUGGCUGCCGGUGCCGUGACUGACUUU